AACGAACGUUAGCGGCGCGCUUAACACACGCAAGUCGAACGAGAAAGGGCUUCGGCCCCGGUACAGUGGCGCACGGGUGAGUAACACGUGGUAAUCUACCCUUGAGCGGGGGAUAACGUUCCGAAAGGAGCGCUAAUACCGCAUAAGACCACGCUCUCGAAAGGGAGCGAGGUAAAAGUAGGCCUCUGAAUUCACGCUUACACUCGAGGAUGAGCCCGCGGCCCAUCAUGGUAGUUGGUAGGGUAAUGGCCUACCAAGCCGAAGACGGGUAGCUGGUCUUAGAGGAUGAUCAGCCACACUGGAACUGAGACACGGUCCAGACUCCUACGGGAGGCAGCAGUGGGGAAUCUUGCGCAAUGGGCGAAAGCCUGACGCAGCGACGCCGCGUGGGUGAUGAAGGCCUUCGGGUCGUAAAGCUCUGUGGGGAGAGACGAAUAAGACGUGGCUAAUAUCCACGGCGAUGACGGUAUCUCCUUAGCAAGCACCGGCUAACUCUGUG
RNAcentral lists this ribosomal RNA (499 nucleotides) under uncultured bacterium. RNAcentral describes it as "bacterial SSU rRNA". It matches the Rfam family "Bacterial small subunit ribosomal RNA", at positions 29 to 507 of the family's 1533-position model. The record is from RNAcentral.